UACGUAGGGCGCAAGCGUUGUCCGGAUUUACUGGGUUUAAAGGGUGCGUAGGCGGCCUUUUAAGUCGGCUGUGAAAUGUCGGGGCUCAACCCCGGCGCUGUGGCCGAUACUGAGAGGCUUGAAUCAACACGAGGCAACUGGAAUGAACGGUGUAGCGGUGAAAUGCGUAGAGAUCGUUCAGAACGCCGAUUGCGAAGGCAGGUUGCUGGAGUUGGAUUGACGCUGAGGCACGAAAGCGUGGGGAGCGAACAGG
Molecule: ribosomal RNA, 253 nt
Filed under: uncultured bacterium
Lineage: Bacteria
Description: partial 16S ribosomal RNA
Rfam family: Bacterial small subunit ribosomal RNA
Source: RNAcentral